This is a long non-coding RNA of Felis catus (domestic cat), 1843 nucleotides long. RefSeq lists it as uncharacterized. The record is from RefSeq and is a predicted model, not a curated record. The transcript has 4 exons. NCBI's taxonomy places the organism in Eukaryota, Metazoa, Chordata, Mammalia, Carnivora, Felidae.
UAGAAGCGCUGCUAGCAGGCCAGGCCUGGGCCGCCAGUCUGCGCAGGUGCGUCGGCGCGGGUGAGGGGGGCGCCAUCUUCUUGAUGAGCUUUACCUGCCGACCCGGAAGUGGUUCUCCCGGAAGUCCCAGAGGCGAGGCGGGGCGGGGGUCCGCUUCAGGCGCUGCUCCGGGACCCUGGGGCUCCUGCUUGGGCGCCUUCUGCAGGCCCUGGGAAGGAGCGCAGACCCAAGCUGCUUUUGCGUCUUCCGGAGACGCCGGCCGCCCUCGUGCUUCUCUUUGGCCACCUUGCCAAGAAGCGGCCACGGUGGAAGCAGAAGCUGCAAGAGAGAAUCAGCUAAACUGGAGCACAAAUCCAACAUGGAUUCUGCUACAUUCCAGUCUCCAGCUUGCUUUCUUGGUAACACAGGAUGAAUCCCUUCAGCUGUGGCGAAAAUGGUGUCAGAUGAAGAAACUGAGACUCACUGAUGUGAAGUAACUUCCGAGCUAGCAAGUGGAGGAUUAGGAAUCAGGACUGCAACACUGUUCUUUCCUCUGAGAGAACCUUGCUGUGUGAUCGGUAUCCGCAACAGCACGUUCGGGACGCUGCCCGAUUUCGUCGCGUGGGUUCAGUUCCUACAUUGAUGCCAGGCCUUCUACAGGGAAAAAAAAAAUGGACAUCUUAAUAAAAGUGGAACCAUGACAGACACAGAGGAAGAAGUCCACGUGAUGAUAGAGGCAAACCUGGGAGUUAUGCCACCGCAAGCCAAGAAACACCUGGGGCCACCAGAAGCUAGAAAAAAAACAAGAAGGACUCUUCUCUAGAGCCUUCAGAGGAAGCACAACCUUGCUGUCACCUUGAUAUUGGAUGCCUAGCUUCCAGAACCGUGGGAGAAUACAUUUCUAUGGUUUUCAGCCAUCUAGUCUGUGGCACUUUGUCACCAAAGCCCUUGGGAAGUCAUACCACCGCCAUGCUAUCCCUGUCUUUCUGAGGAAGACAAUGAAGAGAGCGAUGUCAGAAUUCCAGAAGGAGACACAGAUUCUCGAGAUGUCUUGUCCCACCCUUGGCACCCUUUGAUAAAGUAAAAAGCAGGUGUCAUUACACUAGGGACUAGUUGACAUCCUGAACUAAGCAGCCGCAAACAAAUUGAAGCGACCAAACUAAAACUUUUUAAACACUUAAUUUUUAAAAAGUGGAGCUGUGUGGCACCUGGCUGGCUCAGUCAGUAGAGCGUGCGACUCUUGAUCUCAGGGUUGCAGGUUUGAGGCCCCACCUUGGGUGUAGAGAUGACUUAAAAAUAAAAUCUUAAAGAAAAAACAAAGUGGAGCUGUAACAUAACAAGAAUAAGGAUCCAGGCUUAGCAUUAAAUAAACUCUCAGCCCAAAUAUUUUUUUUUAAUUUUUUUUAAUCUUUAUUUAUUUUUGAGACAGAGAGAGACAGAGUGUGAGUGGGGGAGGAACAGAGAGAGGGAGAUAAAGAAUCCCAAGUAGGCUCCAGGCUCCAAGCUGUCAGCACAGAGCCCGAUGCGGGGCUCGAACUCACAAACUGUGAGAUCAUGACCUGAGCUGAAGUCAGACGCUUAACCGACUGAGCCACCCAGGUCCCCCUCAUUCCAAGUGAUUUUAAGCAAGAUAUGUAACCUCCCUAAAUUUUAGGCUUCUUAUCCAUAAAACAUGACCAAAAUCCAGUUCACAGAAUUGUUAAAGAAUUAAAUGAGAUGAUGUUCACAAGCACUGCACUAAUUAUAAUUCACUGGUUCAAAUAUUAGAAACCCAGUUAAAGGGGCACCUGGGUGGCUCAGUCGGUUGUGUCCGGCUUCAGCUCAGGUCACGAUCUCACGGUUCAUGAGUUCAAGUCCCACAUCC